This is a small nucleolar RNA of Nycticebus coucang (slow loris), 130 nucleotides long. RefSeq annotates it as small nucleolar RNA SNORA72. The transcript has a single exon. The record is from RefSeq and is a predicted model, not a curated record. NCBI's taxonomy places the organism in Eukaryota, Metazoa, Chordata, Mammalia, Primates, Lorisidae.
CUGCAAAUAUUCUUGAUUUCUGAUUUUAUAUUAAGCAGGACAGACUAAACAUUUGCUAUAUAAAAAUCAUGCACAUGUCCCCAGACCUAGUUCUUUCCCUAGUAUAGUUUUAUAAAUGCCGGUGAGAAAC